GCCGCCGGUGCACGAAGGUCGUUGACCGGAGCACUUCACUCGUAAUGAAGGGGUCCGCGGUUCGAUCCGCGCGUCGGCU
RNAcentral lists this transfer RNA (79 nucleotides) under Actinomycetota bacterium. RNAcentral describes it as "tRNA-Thr". Lineage: Bacteria; Bacillati; Actinomycetota. The record is from RNAcentral.